UGUCAGGUCUGAAAACCAAAAGUGAAAAAAAAAGGAAACUGAUUUCUUGUAUCAAGGGAGGGAGAAAAAAGCAGCAACACAUCAAAGCAAAAGCACAGCACAAAGGGGAAAACUACACCGUGUGGACUAGAUGGUGACUCAGUGGUGGACUCGGUGCACCCAGCCGCCCCUGCCCUGAGCCCUCCACUCUGCUCUGUAUUUCAAGACAGGAACACCUCCGGUGGAUUCUGGCUCCUCGAACUGAAUCUGUGCCGUGGUGGAGAAGGGUCUCACCUCACUGAUGGAUGGAGCUGAUGGCACCUCUGGUAAAGGAAGGAAAUGCAGUGUGAUUGCAACAAAAAAUGUAGCUGGCUGAUGGACUCCGGAAGAUCUUGAUGUUGGUAGUGUUUGAGUUGGGGAGCUGCAGUCCAUCUCUCAGCCAUAUAAUAGAUACAUCACUGGGAUGAGCCAUGACCUCACAGCUGAUAUUAACA
Long non-coding RNA from Epinephelus moara (kelp grouper), 473 nucleotides. RefSeq lists it as uncharacterized. The transcript has 3 exons. Lineage: Eukaryota; Metazoa; Chordata; Actinopteri; Perciformes; Serranidae. The record is from RefSeq and is a predicted model, not a curated record.